AGUCACUGACAUUAGAUACCCCUGUAGUCCAGGGUGUAAACGCUGCAGACUUGGUGUUGGAGGCCCUUUGGGGGCAUUCAGUGCCGGAGAGAAGUUGUUAAGUCUGCUACUUGGGGGAGUACGUCCGCAAGGAUGAAACUUAAGGAAUUGGCGGGGGAGCACCGCAACGGGAGGAGCGUGCGGUUUAAUUGGAUUCAACACCGUAAACUCACCAGGGAAGACUGUUACAUGAAGGCCGAGAUGAAGACUCUGCUAGAUUUUCAG
RNAcentral lists this ribosomal RNA (264 nucleotides) under uncultured archaeon. Its description in RNAcentral is "partial 16S ribosomal RNA". It matches the Rfam family "Archaeal small subunit ribosomal RNA", at positions 718 to 982 of the family's 1478-position model. The record is from RNAcentral.